Molecule: ribosomal RNA, 523 nt
Filed under: uncultured bacterium
Lineage: Bacteria
Description: bacterial SSU rRNA
Rfam family: Bacterial small subunit ribosomal RNA
Source: RNAcentral
GAUUCUGGCUCAGAACGAACGCUGGCGGCGUGGAUAAGACAUGCAAGUCGAACGCUGAUUAUAGGGUAGCAAUAUUCUGUAGUCGGAGUGGCGAAAGGGUGCGUAACACGUGGGUAAUUUGCCGUGAAGUUGGGGAUAACUCGCUGAAAGGCGAGCUAAUACCGAAUGUGGCCUAACAAGGCUAAAGUUGGGGACCGUAAGGCCUGACGCUUCAUGAUAAGCCCGCGGCCUAUCAGCUAGUUGGUGAGGUAACGGCUCACCAAGGCUAAGACGGGUAGCUGGUCUGAGAGGACGACCAGCCUCACUGGAACUGAGACACGGUCCAGACACCUACGGGUGGCAGCAGUCGAGAAUUUUUCUCAAUGGGGGAAACCCUGAAGGAGCGACGCCGCGUGGGGGAUGAAUGGCUUCGGCCCGUAAACCCCUGUCAUUUGCGAACAAACCUUUCGGUUAAUAGACCGAAAGCUGAUAGUAGCGAAAGAGGAAGGGACGGCUAACUCUGUGCCAGCAGCCGCGGUAAUAC